UUUUUUUUUUUUUUUUUUUUUUUUUUUUUUCCUUGAGACUGGGGAACACUGCCUUGCUUGGGUAUCACUUGAACAGACCUCACAUUUUUCAUUUAUGCUUUUUCAUCUCAGCACUCCUGAAACAGAGAUGUCUCAAGGUACUCUUUGCAAGGUCAUCAGCUAAGCUGACUAUAAAAAUUCAAAUUUAAUUCAUUAAAUUAAACUCUCUGAUUUACUAUAAAAAACUAGAGAGCCAGGUAUAUGUUAAAAAAUCAAGUCAGAAAAGAACAGAAAUUGGGAAGAAAGUUUCUCCUUUUUUAAGCACUGAAAACGAGAAAAGCAGAGAUGUAAAGGGAAAAACUUAGAGCCAGAAGAUCCAAACUUCCCCUUGAUUCUAAACUUAGCUCAGCCACUGGCCCACCGUGCAGAUGACUCAGUGCACUUCCUUGAACUUAAAUCAUUCCUCUUACAAAACUUGUUAAAGAAAGACGUCAGUGUAAAUUAGAUGUUGUGUCUAAGUUUAGCUAUGGCCAAUACAUAAAUAUCAGAAAUUUAAUGUGUUCUCAUUCUUGUCUGCUUAAGAAAGAUGUGUAUAUACAUGCACAUAUGCAUAUAUAUAUAUAUACACACACUAGCAAGGGAGAGAAAGACUUCUUUGCGCUAUUUUUACAGUUUCAUUUGCAUAUAUUGUUAUUUUGCUGGUGACAUAAGAGCUCACAGCUGAUUAGAAGUUUAACUGUUUUCAGAGCAGCCUGACUGCCACAACGCCCAAGCACUCUUCAUUCUCUCAAACUGUCAGGAAAGUUUCCAUCCCAUCCAAGCAGUGAGAGCUGAGAGUACACAUUCGGCAUAUAACAUACAUGAUGUCUGAUUCCUUGUGACACUAAUCUUCACUCCUGGGGGAAAGGCAGUCAUUUAUUCAUAACUCUACCACUCAAAAGUAACCAUUCUUCUCACCAUGGAGAUAAAUGUCAAAACAGAGACCAUCCAUAGGCUGAGUCUAAUCUAAUCUGUCCAAAAUGAAUAUAUAUUUAGAUCUGUUGUCAAAUCUUGAAUAGCAAACCCUUUAGCCUAGGCAACUAUUUCCUCAGUCUGCCCUCUCCGUCUAUAAAUAUGCAUAUCAGAAUGGAUAUAUGCUAUCAGAGAAGCAUAUUAAUCCUGCUAACAUGGACAGGAUAUGAUGCUGACCAAUCUGCCUGAUAUAAGCAAAGACCCAGAUGACAAAUCACAAGACUUCCAGAAAUUGUAACAGAGAGGGAAAAAAUAUAUUAAUUUUUGUUAAAAUUUCUCUAUAAUUCAACAUGCACCUGAAAUCAGCAGGCCCUCCACUUCCAAGUGGCUGGUCCAACAAAUGAGAAGAACAGAGUCCUACCUGGAUGUCUGCGGAAGAUGGCAAUGGAAAUUUCCUUUCUCGUAAAACUGUUAAUUCUCAUUGUCCCUCUCCUUUCUCCAGUUCACAUUUUCAUUUUGGGGAUGUCAGCUGGAAGGUGUUUAUUUAUGCUACACCCUUUCCCAUCAAAUUAUACCUAUGGAGUUCCUCAUAUUCUCCUGAAAAUGGUUGUCACAAUUUUUAAGAAUGAGAAGGAUGACCCCAGAAACUACAGGCCUGUCGAUCUUGCUUUGGUGCCCAGUAAAAUCAUGGAAAAGGUUGUUCUGGAAGGUAUGGGAAAAUACCUGAAGGACUAUGAAGUCUUCAGUCAGCCAGCAUGGCUUCAUAAGGGAAAAGUCCUGCUUGUCAAAUCUGAUUUCCCUCUAUGACAGGGUAACCCACCAACCUGAUCUAGGAAAGCCAGUAGAUGUAAUCUUUUCAGAAAAACUGAAAACUGGCUUACAGGUUGGGCACAAAAGGUCACAGUGACUGGGGUGAUAUCAGAUUGGCAACCUGUCACUAGUUGAGUUCUUGUCAGGGCUCCAUCCUUGGCCCUGUGCUCUUCAACAUCUUCAUGAAUUACUUGGAAGCAGGACUGGAAGGAGUACUAAGUUUGCCAGUGAUACUAAAUUAGGAGGAGCUGACUCCAUCAAAUGCAAGGAGACCCUGCAGAGACAGGUCAACAAAUCAGAGACGUGGUUAGUCACCAGCCAUGUGAAGGGAACAAGGGAAAGUGUCAGAUAUUCUGCACCUGGGAAGGGCAACCCUGGUUGUGUGUAUAGAUGGUUGGAAAGCAGUGCUGCUAAAAGGGACCUGGGGGUCCUGGCCAAUGGCAAGUUGAAUCGGAGUCAGCAGUGCCCUGGCAGCCAGGAGGGCCAAGCAUGUCCUGUGGGACAUCAGGCACAGCAUGGCCAGCCCGGCAAGGAAGGGGAUUGUCCUGCUCUGCUCUGCACUGGGGAAGCCUCAUCUUGAGUGCUGGGGAAGUUUCAGGCACUACAAGAUAAAAAUAACAUUAUAUUUUUAGAGAGUGUCCAAAGGAGGGCCAUAAGGAUGGUGAUGGAUUAGGAGGAAAAGCCAUGCAGGGAGUAGCUUAGGUCACUUUGCUUGUCCAGCCUAGAGAGGAGGAGACUGAGUGGAGACCUCAUUGUAGUCUUCAACAUUUUCACAAGGGGAAGCAGAGGGGUAGGUACUGAUCUCUUCCCUCUGGUGACCAGUUUAAGGACACAAGGAAAUGUCAUAAAGCUGAGUCAGGGGAGAUUUAGGUUAGACAUCAAGAAAAGGUUCUUUACCUGGAGUGGUCAGGCACUGGAACAAGUUCGCCAGGGAAGUGGUCACAGCACCAACCUUGAGAGAGUUCAAGACGUGUAUGGAAAAUGCUCUCAGGCACAUGGUGUGAUUCUUGAGGUGUCCUGCACAAGGCCAGGAGUUGGACUCAAUGAUCCUGAUGUGUCUCUUCCAACACAGGAUAUUCUGUGAUAUCCUGGUACUGAGACACUGGACAACACCAUAGAAGAACCAGAAGUGACUGUCAUUUUUCUGUACCACUCCUCUAUCUCAUUCCACCAUGAAUCUCCAUGAAGUUGUAUUUUUUUUAAGUGGAAUGUCUGAAACUCAUCUCAGAGCCUGAAGAGAAAGAAGUCUUCUUGCUGUGGUACUCACAGAGGAAUUAUGCUGUUUCAGAGAACCAUACCUCUAUCUCUUGUAGAUAUUUCAUUAUUGAAGUUGCACAACAAACACUAAAUGGUAAACAUAGGUUACACUGCUUGUAAACUGUCCUAUUUCUGGAGCUCAAAUAUCUUUGUUCAAAACUAAAUUCCAUUUUUACGUUUGGAUGAAUCUUAUCAUCAGCCAAUUAACUAAUUAUUUCAAAAGAUGAAUUAGGUUUUCCACUUACUCUUCCUUAGCAGUUCAACCAAAUUACCAUUAAUAUAUCAUUAGCUACUUUUCUUUUCUAUGUAUUCCAAGUGAGUAACUGAGCCAUGGUUGUAUCAAAAAGUACUUUCAGAUGUCCCACAUAUGUUUAGAGUGAAUGGGACCUCAGCUAUGUCAGUAUGGGAUUUCUCUAGGAACCCAAGUGCAAAAGGACAUCUGGCCAGCAACCUGUCACUCUGACUUGCUCUGGAUUUGCUCUUACAAGUGGGUCAGAUCCUUAUCUGGAAUAGUUGGACAGAUCUGCACUGCAGCAAGAUUGAGCCCACGUGUCACAAUGCACAAAUACACAAGCAGCAUUGCUAAAAAGGGUCUACUUUCCAAAGGUGGCAGAAAUGGGUGCCAGGUGACAGCUGAGAUGGCACAUAAUGGUCUUUGUGCAGUAAAAAACAAUGAAAGUUUUGUAAAGUAAUAGUUCAGUGAGGUAAAAUAACCAGGGGAAAAAAGUGCUUUAACACAACAUAAAACAAUAGUACAAAAUAGGAAUCAAGAACCAUGGUGUCGCUCCAAACCAUGGCUUCUGUACAUGUGAAGUAAUCAUCUGGAAAAGAAGCUAGCUGUGGGAGAGGAUUAUGAACAGGUCGUGAUCUCACAGCAUGACAAAAUGGCCAAGAGAGCAAAUGCAACUCUUGUUAGCAAUGAGCAGCACCUGCAGAAGGAGGAGUUAAAGAAUUUGCUACUUUUUGUCACAUCCUGAAGGUGGUCCUUGCUAGGUAUUGUAACCAUUUCUAGUCUCAAUACUUUAGCAAGGAUGUUAAUAAAUACAAAUGGUUCAGAGAUAGUGACACCUGGGGAAAAUCUCCCUCAUGCGGAGCACUUAAAGAUCAACCUCACUACCUCAAAGAAAGGGCACAGAGGAGAGCAAAACACUGCCUAAGACUACCUAUGUGGAGAGGAAAAUCUACAGGCAUUAGAGAUUCUUCAGCAGGCUAUAAAUCUCUUGAACUCAAAAAUGAGACAAAGAACAGCGUGCUAAACUGCCACAUUUGGAACAACUUAUCCAGUAAAUUUGCCAUCCCUGCUAGCCUUGAAAUCAAUAUUGCUGUCAUACAGAAUAGCUCUUUCAGAAACGAAACUCUGAAUGGAGUCCAUGAAAUCCUAUGCCCUGUAUAAUCUAAAACAGAGUAGAUGAUCAUAAGAGUCUGCUUGAGUCUUAAAAAUCCAUGAGUGUAGUCCAGAGGACGUGUAGUUUUAGAGGCUAAUUAUGAGGCCCUUACAUUUUUCAGGAUGAGUUUUCCCUGAAGGUUUUUCCUGAAGACUAAAUUAUUUAUCCUAUAACUGAAAAGUAAGGCUGCAAAGGUAUGAAGGAGCGAGCCCCCAAAAGAUCAGAUUUCCUCCUGUUUUCCUAUUUUCCUUAAUUCUAGGUGAAAACAUGUACAGACAAUAGACAAACUUUAUACUUUGAAGAAGACUGAAAGUUCUGCAAGCACGUGGAGAGGAGAUCAGCACACUCACAAGCAAAUCUUGUGAAAGGCAGACACUGGCUGCAUCUGAGUUUACAACAGGGCUCUAAAGAAAUUUGCUUUUCUGGUUUUGAUGACCUAUGUAGCCCUGUGACAGAUAUGGUGUAGUACCACAUUUCCAAGGAAUGGGCUCUACAGCAGCUUCCUUUACUACCUAACUGGAUUUUAUCAUUUUGACUGAAUGUCAGGAGGUUUUUACAAUAUGAGGCUCCAAAACCAUGUCUUGCCUAGUCAUUCUUGUUUCCUCAGCCAGUUUUAUCCAUUUCUGCUCCUAGGUGUAUAGCAGCAUACAGAAUUCCAGUAAUCCCCACAAAACUCAUACUGUAAGACUCAGUACUGCCCAUUUUCCAAUAAUUACAUUUAAGAUGGCGCUUUAAUUCACUGGGAACUGAGUUGAGCUUUUCCAUGAACUUGUAUUUGAUUUGGUAAAGAGGAACUUCAGUAGAGUGAGGCUAGGAUUAUCUCUAUGUGAUUCACAGCAGAAUUUCCAUCUUUUGCACAUCUUCAACAAAUACCAGGACUUGAUGAAGACCUUAUUUUUCAGGUGGACCGAUCCUAAGUUUCAUCCUUUGUCUAGCAAUAUGAAAAAGAUAUCUAGCUUGGUUGUCUUAAUCACAUUUUCAGUUUUGAUGGGCAGGAAAUGUAGUGUAGAUAUGUGUGAACCCUGAAUAAGCUUAAGAGCAGGGGUUUGCUGAAUGCUGGUUUUGGGAAACAGUGUCUGGAUUUUGUUAUCCUGUUAAGUCUGGGAAAUCAUUCACAUCUCCCC
Molecule: long non-coding RNA, 5506 nt
Organism: Taeniopygia guttata (zebra finch)
Lineage: Eukaryota; Metazoa; Chordata; Aves; Passeriformes; Estrildidae
Source: Ensembl